Cyclopterus lumpus (lumpfish) is the source of this 3026-nucleotide RNA transcript. It is a transcript of the gene named kelch domain containing 3, with no coding region annotated. The transcript is spliced from 12 exons. The record is from RefSeq and is a predicted model, not a curated record. Lineage: Eukaryota; Metazoa; Chordata; Actinopteri; Perciformes; Cyclopteridae.
CGUCUCGCCCCUCAACACGUCACGAGGGAGUCGGCAGGGGCUCCCAGUGGACAGCGCUGCUUUCCUAAACACCAGUUAACCACAACCGACUCGACCUGAAGGUUUCAGCGGUGUUGGCUUGAUGGGAUCCAGGCGGGUGACAAAGUGAUGGUCUAAGGACUCGCAGUCACAGAGGUGCUUGCGCGUGGAAUGUUGCGCUGGUCGGUGCACCUAGAAGGAGGGCCGCGGAGAGUCAACCAUGCUGCUGUGGCGGUGGGGCACAAGGUGUACUCCUUUGGAGGCUACUGCUCUGGGGAGGACUAUGAGACACUCCGUCAGAUUGAUGUGCAUGUCUUCAACACAGUGUCUCUGCGCUGGAUGAAGUUGCCUCCAGUGAGGAUUGGAGGAGGACAUGAACGUGCCCGUGAAGUGCCAUAUAUGCGCUACGGCCACACCGCUGUGCUGCUGGAUGAGAUUAUCUACCUCUGGGGUGGUCGUAACGAUACAGAGGGGGCCUGCAAUGUGCUUUAUGCCUUUGAUGUCAACACCCACAGAUGGUUCACACCCAAGAUUUCGGGGACCGUUCCAGGGGCAAGGGACGGCCACUCCUCCUGCGUCCUGGGAAAGGCAAUGUAUAUAUUUGGAGGCUACGAGCAGCUGGCUGACUGCUUCUCCAAUGACAUCCACAAGCUGGACACCAUCACCAUGGUUUGGUCAUUAAUUAAUGCCAGAGGCACUCAGGCACGCUGGAGGGACUUCCACUCGGCCACCAUCAUCGGGACAAAGAUGUUUGUGUUUGGAGGGCGAGCAGACCGCUUUGGUCCCUUCCACUCCAACAACGAGAUCUACUGCAACAAGAUCAAAGUGUUCGAUACACAGACCAACUGCUGGCUGAGCACACCUCCAACACAGCCGUUGCCAGAGGGACGCAGAAGUCAUUCAGCCUUUUCCUACAAAGGGGAGCUGUAUAUAUUUGGCGGGUACAACGCCCGUCUGGACCGGCACUUCAACGACCUAUGGAAAUUCAAUCCAGAAGCCUUUUCCUGGACGAAGGUAGAGCCGAAGGGAAAAGGCCCAUGCCCGCGGAGACGGCAGUGCUGUUGUAUGGUUGGAGAUCGAAUCAUCCUCUUUGGAGGAACCAGCCCCUGUCCAGAGCAAGGAAUGGGUGACGAAUUUAACCUCAUGGAUCAUUCAGACCUGUAUAUCUUAGACUUCAGUGGGUUUACACAGGGACGCAGAGACCGUAUGGGACUGGCAGUACUCGGUGGCAUCCCCUGUGGCAUACACUUCCACGUGCCAGUCGCGUGUGCCUUCACACUGUUUAUCACUGGACAUAUGGUGGAGCAGACAUGACGGUGGCCAUAAUUGAGAGGAAGUUUGUAAUAAGAUGAUUUGUGCACCGAGGCCCUAAUUUGAAGACGUUAUGCAAAAUAGCUGUUAUUCAAUACAGUCUGGAGCAGUCAGGACUCCCACAUGAUAUCAGGUGGGAACUGGCAGCCAUGACCACCAACAGCAACAUCAGCAGGCCCAUCCCCUCCUCCCACGGCUGACGCCGCUGAUUGUGAAGCAGAACCAGGACUGCUCGCUUCAUUUCAGGACACCAAGCUUUUAUCUUUCUAAUCAACUGAGCACCGACUGACUGUUUUUUUGUAGAGUUUGGAUUUGUAUGCAGAUUUUAUUUCCCUCAUUCACUUCAAGUGACCAAAACACCCUGCGUAUGACUUCCUUGGACACCGUGAGCGCUCUCACGUCUACGGAUAUUUUAACGCCCCGAGACACUGGUUACGUGUGUGACAUCAGUUGUUCACACCUGUUCAUAUUUUUGUCUUCUUUCUAGCCUCUCUAGAAAUCCAAUCAGCCUAUGAUAAUCAUAGACUUCUAAUCUUAAGCACAGGAAGAGACAAGGACUUCAGCCAAAGGUCUUGAGAAGUAAACUCUUUGUUGAGGAUGUCGUCCUGAUGUCACACUCAGCCAAUCUCCCCUAAGAGACAAAUGUGAACCCCUUUUGUUUCGAGAAGUAAAGUAAUGUGGAGAAGACAUGCCUAAUGUAUUACUUUGGGGUUAAGCAGCGUGAGUAUUUGGGUAUGUAGAGUUAUGCUCCUUUGACUGACUUUCAAUGUUCACCUUUUACCUGCUUCAUCAGGUGUCUCAAAGGUGAUUUGCAGAGCGACUGAAGCAAGCCUUGUAAAAGCAUUGUGUCCAGCUACCUCCCUCAAUAGCAUGUAUCAUUGAGUCUUUGACAAGACUUCCCAUACACUACACGUCUACUUUUCCCCCAGAAAAAGAAAGAAGAAAGAAGCCUUUUCACUUUUGUAUUUGUGGUCGUCUGUUGUAUUCUUCCAAGAAAUGUUGUAGCGUAACUGGAAGAGUGCAACUCGCCCGCCCCCCGUUUACCCCGCGGUUUGUUUUUCAGUGCCAAACGUAGAGGGGAAUCAUGAUGCAAAUAUAUAUAUACUGUGUAUGUGUGCGAGCACAUGGUCCCCGUCUACACGCGCCUGCUUCAGUGUGCCUGCUGCUGCGGGAGAGAAGGUCACUAAUAUGCAUUAAGCAGUCGUUCUUCUUGUAGACAAUCCAGCAGUGAUCCGACUCCUCGUGACGCGCUCAUUCACAGUACGGUGAAAAAAACUGUGUGUUUGUGUACGAGUGUGAGCAAAGCUGAACCUGAGCAGAUGUUGUUAUUAAGGGCUGAUAUUAGAAUACACACUCACCACACAGCUGGAAAAUGACUUUGGAUGAUGCAAAUUAGGGAUGUUUAUUCAAGGUGUGUGUUUUUAUUCUAAUCUCAUAUUUUAGAUCAAAACUUUGAAAACACAGUAGUGGUGGUGGACUUUUUUUUAAAAACUUUUAUCUCCACCCACUUUCGGUACAUGAUGAGGUUGCUGAUAUUCUAUAGUUUUGAUGAAGUCAAGGAAUCCCAUAAAAAGACUGACAAUGUUGUCUCAACAUUUCUGAACCCCGUCUGUGGCUCUCGUUUGUUCCUACUGAACAGAGCGGUUCAUUUCGGAAAAGGAGUAAAUAAAGCAUUUUGUGGAGGACGGUGUAUUCAG